AGAGUUUGAUCAUGGCUCAGAACGAACGCUGGCGGCGUGGAUUAGGCAUGCAAGUCGAACGGACAUUUAGCUUUUUCGAAUGUCAGUGGCGAAAGGGUGAGUAACACGUGGGAUACGUACCCUUAGGUUCGGGAUAACCAGUCGAAAGAUUGGCUAAUACCGGAUAAGUUCAUAUAUUUUCGAAUAUAUGAGGAAAGAUAGGGACCUCUUCGGAGGCCUGUCACCUUUGGAUCGGCCCGCGGCCUAUCAGCUAGUUGGUGAGGUAAUGGCUCACCAAGGCUAAGACGGGUAGCUGGACUGAGAGGUUGGUCAGCCACACUGGAACUGAGACACUGUCCAGACAUCUACGGAUGGCUGCAGUCGAGAAUCUUUCGCAAUGGGGGAAACCCUGACGAAGCGACGCCGCGUGGAGGAUGAAGGCCUUCGGGUUGUAAACUCCUGUCGGCUGGGAAGAAAAGUCUAUCAUUAAUAAUGGUAGAUCUUGACGGUACCAGCAAAGGAAGCCACGGCUAACUCUGUGCCAGCAGCCGCGGUAAUACAGAGGUGGCAAGCGUUGUUCGGAUUUAUUGGGCGUAAAGGGUCCGUAGGCGGUUUGGAAAGUCAGAUGUGAAAUCCCACAGCUCAACUGUGGAACUGCAUUUGAAACUUCCAGACUAGAGUAUGAGAGGGGUUAAGGGAAUUCCCGGUGUAAGGGUGAAAUCUGCAGAGAUCGGGAGGAACACCAAUCGCGAAGGCGCUUAACUGGCUCAUUACUGACGCUCAGGGACGAAAGCUAGGGUAGCAAACGGGAUUAGAUACCCCGGUAGUCCU
This 810-nucleotide ribosomal RNA is filed under the name uncultured bacterium. RNAcentral describes it as "bacterial SSU rRNA". It matches the Rfam family "Bacterial small subunit ribosomal RNA", at positions 8 to 797 of the family's 1533-position model. The record is from RNAcentral.